RNAcentral lists this ribosomal RNA (454 nucleotides) under Tetratrichobothrius flavicaudis. RNAcentral's name for it is "Euscorpius flavicaudis partial 12S ribosomal RNA". Lineage: Eukaryota; Metazoa; Arthropoda; Arachnida; Scorpiones; Euscorpiidae. The record is from RNAcentral.
UAUACUAUUAAAGCAAACGUAUUUAAUUUUAAAAUUAUAUUAUACAAAUACUAUGGAAUUUAAAAAAUUUUAUUAAGUAAAAUUAAAAUGUUAUGACAAUCCUAAAAAUAUUUUUUAUUAAUGUUUAACAAAAACUAGGAUUAGAUACCCUACUAUUAAAUUUAAUGUAAAUUAGGUAGUAUAGGAAUUCUAGAAACCUAAAGAAUUUGGCGGUAUUUUAAAUAAUUGGAGGAACCUGUUAUUUAAUUGACACUCCACAACAAAUCUAACCUAAUUUAAGUUUGUAUAUCAUUGUUUAGAUAAUAUUUAAAAAUAAUUAUCAAAUUUAAUAAAAUUUUAAAAAUCAAAUCAAGGUGCAGCAUAUUUAGGGUAUAAUGGGUUACAAUUUAAGAAUAAAUAACGGAUGAAAAUGAAAAUAGUUAUGAAGGUGGAUUCAAAAGUAAAUUUAAAAUAA